RNAcentral lists this ribosomal RNA (372 nucleotides) under uncultured organism. RNAcentral describes it as "bacterial SSU rRNA". It matches the Rfam family "Bacterial small subunit ribosomal RNA", at positions 526 to 896 of the family's 1533-position model. The record is from RNAcentral.
CGUAGGGAGCAAGCGUUGUCCGGAAUCAUUGGGCGUAAAGCGCGCGUAGGCGGCCCCGUAAGUCCGCUCUGAAAGUCAAAGGCUCAACCUUUGAAAGCGGGUGGAUACUGCAGGGCUAGAGUCCGGAAGAGGCGAGUGGAAUUCCUGGUGUAGCGGUGGAAUGCGCAGAUAUCAGGAGGAACACCAACGGCGAAGGCAGCUCGCUGGGACGGUACUGACGCUGAGGCGCGAAAGCGUGGGGAGCAAACAGGAUUAGAUACCCUGGUAGUCCACGCCGUAAACGAUGGGCAUUAGGUGUGGGAGGUGUCGACUCCUCCCGUGCCGGCGCUAACGCAUUAAAUGCCCCGCCUGGGGAGUACGGCCGCAAGGCUA